AGAAGCUUUCCAUUAUACACAGCUCGAGGAAUAGACGGAAAACUAGAGAGAGAGAAAAUGAUCUACAGAAAGUGGAGUCUGCUUACUGGUCCGACCUCUAUCAUCGCCGGAGUAAUCGGCACUGUAGUGGUCGCAGAUCUCAUCUUCGUUGAUAACGGUUGGUUGCGCAAGGGAGAUGAAAAGAAGCAAGAACUAGCAACUAAAACCAAGUAGAAGCAGAAAGGGCUCAUUCCAAUUGCUGUGUUCCUUUGUUUUGUCAAGAAUGCAAUGUCGAAUAAAAUGAUCUUGCUCGUUAUACAAUUCAGUUUUUGUGUUUAAAUUCUUUUGAGUUUUGCUACCUGGAUAGCCAGAAAAUCAAGUAGAGGCAGCGAAUAAAUCAGAAUAUGUAAAGUACAAAGCUGGUUUAACAUUAUCUUUGAUAUCUAAGAAGCAUUUUUAUCAUCAAA
Long non-coding RNA from Salvia splendens (bonfire salvia), 446 nucleotides. RefSeq lists it as uncharacterized. The record is from RefSeq and is a predicted model, not a curated record. The transcript has 2 exons. Lineage: Eukaryota; Viridiplantae; Streptophyta; Magnoliopsida; Lamiales; Lamiaceae.